GAUGAAGAACGCAGCGAAAUGCGAUAAGUAGUGUGAAUUGCAGAAUUCAGUGAAUCAUCGAAUCUUUGAGCGCACAUUGCGCCCUUUGGUAUUCCAAAGGGCAUGCCUGUUCGAGCGUCAUUUGUACCCUCAAGCUUUGCUUGGUGUUGGGCGUCUUGUCUCUAGCUUUGCUGGAGACUCGCCUUAAAGUAAUUGGCAGCCGGCCUACUGGUUUCGGAGCGCAGCACAAGUCGCACUCUCUAUCAGCAAAGGUCUAGCAUCCAUUAAGCCUUUUUUUCAACUUUUGACCUCGGAUCAGGUAGGGAUACCCGCUGAACUUAAGCAUAUCAAUAAGCGGAGGA
This 341-nucleotide unclassified non-coding RNA is filed under the name soil metagenome. Its description in RNAcentral is "partial contains 5.8S ribosomal RNA, internal transcribed spacer 2, and large subunit ribosomal RNA". The stretch from base 1 to 120 matches the Rfam family "5.8S ribosomal RNA", at positions 35 to 154 of the family's 154-position model. The record is from RNAcentral.